AACGAACGCUGGCGGCAGGCCUAACACAUGCAAGUCGAACGAUGUAGCAAUACAUAGUGGCGCACGGGUGAGUAACGCGUGGGAAUGUACCUUUUAGUGGGGGAUAACUCCGGGAAACUGGAGCUAAUACCGCAUACGCCCUUCGGGGGAAAGAUUUAUCGCUAAAAGAUCAGCCCGCGUGAGAUUAGGUAGUUGGUGGGGUAAUGGCCUACCAAGCCUACGAUCUCUAGCUGGUCUCAGAGGAUGAUCAGCCACACUGGAACUGAGACACGGUCCGGACUCCUACGGGAGGAAGCAGUGGGGAAUAUUGGGGAAUGGGCGCAAGCCUGACCCAGCCAUGCCGCGUGAGUGAUGAAGGCUCUAGGGUUGUAAAGCUCUUUCGCCGAUGAAGAUAAUGACGGUAGUCGGAGAAGAAGCCCCGGCUAACUUCGUGCCAGCCGCCGCAGUAA
RNAcentral lists this ribosomal RNA (449 nucleotides) under uncultured bacterium. RNAcentral's name for it is "partial 16S ribosomal RNA". It matches the Rfam family "Bacterial small subunit ribosomal RNA", at positions 29 to 523 of the family's 1533-position model. The record is from RNAcentral.